GAAAGAUCGUUUCCAACAAUUAACUUGCAGGGUAAAAAAAUGGAAUGCUUUAUGACCAACAUGUAUUUCUUUGAGUUGUAACUCAAACAGGAGGCACCAGAUGAGGGCGCUGUCACCAACCCUAUAAGAAGAAGGCUGAUAGAGGAAGUGAGCUGCUGCCAUUUUCGUUUGUUUGAUCAGGAUCAUCUGUAUCUUCUGAGGGAUUAUGGACUGGGCGUGAAAGUCGGUGUGGCGCUGCACCAGGUCACAAGGCUGCUAAAGGCCUAUCCCAGCUUUCAGGACUCAAGGUCACCAGUCUGUUACAGAGCUACUCCACCUUUUACUGCACAUAUAACGGUACAUUAUGUGGGAGACCUUCAGGUCCUGAACAUGAAGUCUUACUGG
Non-coding RNA from Oryzias latipes (Japanese medaka), 384 nucleotides. The record is from RefSeq and is a predicted model, not a curated record. Lineage: Eukaryota; Metazoa; Chordata; Actinopteri; Beloniformes; Adrianichthyidae.